Corapipo altera (White-ruffed manakin) is the source of this 974-nucleotide long non-coding RNA. RefSeq lists it as uncharacterized. NCBI's taxonomy places the organism in Eukaryota, Metazoa, Chordata, Aves, Passeriformes, Pipridae. The record is from RefSeq and is a predicted model, not a curated record. The transcript is spliced from 4 exons.
GCUUGGUCAGUGCCCAAACCAGCCUCUAGGGGAAGAACCUUUUUGUGAUAUCCAGCCUAACACUCCCCUGACACAUCUCCAGCUGUUCCUUGGGUCCUGUCACUGCUCACACAAAGCACAGAUCUACCCCUCAUGAGGAAGCUGCAGACCCUGGUGAGAUCUGAUCUCAGUCUCCUCCAGUCUAAACACCUCAAGUGCCCUCAAAAGCUCCUGGGUUGAAUGUAACUCCCAGGAAAUCUUGUACAAUUCAGCUGACCUGCCCAAGAGAGUAAAAUAUGGCUGUUUGUAACCGUGGUGGGAUGAUCUGGAGCCCCCCAGAUGGAAGGUGCUAUGCAGAGAUGUGCUGCAGAGAAGACUCAGAAGACAGAAGCACAGGGUGUACUGGGCCGUGCAGUGCUGCCAUGGCACCCAGCUCACAGCUCGGAGAGGACUUGGCUGGAGGCAGCUCCGUCCAUCCAGAUGACAGGGAAUGCAUCAGGUCAUGCCUGUGCAGAACCUGCUUCAGACAAACCCAGGCCAUUGCCCUCUUGGAAAUCCCACUGGACCUACAGAAACUGUUGCAGGACCCAAAGUGACCAGGUGGCCCAACCCCAAUGGGCUGUGCCAGGGUUUCCUGAUGUUCCUGCUCCGUUCCGAUGAAACAUUAUACAGAAAGAUAUAGGCAAAGCAUUAUGCUCACAGCCUUUGCCAACAAGUUAUGUUUUAAUGUAAUUUAACUGUAAUCUCAGAGUGUUUUUGUUAGCUAUAAUUAGUAAAAUAUGUCUGUUUUCUGUGUUCCUUGAAGAUGUCUGAACUCCUGCCAGUUCCCUAUAGUUUUCCUGACAUGCAGUGUAACAAGCAGACCACCAAAAUGUAUUUACCAAUAACUGUUUAUUUACAUUCCAUGAAAUCUAAUAACAUUUGCUGUCUUCAUUCGGGAUAAAUGCUCGCCAAAGUGUAAAGCAUAAAAAAAUAAACACUGCCUUACUUUCUAA